This 85-nucleotide transfer RNA is filed under the name Felis catus (domestic cat). It matches the Rfam family "tRNA". Rfam says of the family: Transfer RNA (tRNA) molecules are approximately 80 nucleotides in length. Their secondary structure includes four short double-helical elements and three loops (D, anti-codon, and T loops). The record is from Rfam by way of RNAcentral. Lineage: Eukaryota; Metazoa; Chordata; Mammalia; Carnivora; Felidae.
ACCUGGGUGGCUCAGUCGGUUGAGCAUCUGACUUCAGCUCAGGUCAUGAUCUCACGGUUUGUGAGUUCGAGCCCCACGUCGGGCU